CCUACGGGAGGCAGCAGUGAGGAAUAUUGGUCAAUGGACGAGAGUCUGAACCAGCCAAGUAGCGUGAAGGAUGACUGCCCUAUGGGUUGUAAACUUCUUUUAUAUGGGAAUAAACUGUUCCACGUGUGGGAUUUUGUAUGUACCAUAUUAAUAAGGAUCGGCUAACUCCGUGCCAGCAGCCGCGGUAAUACGGAGGAUCCGAGCGUUAUCCGGAUUUAUUGGGUUUAAAGGGAGCGUAGGUGGAUUGUUAAGUCAGUUGUGAAAGUUUGCGGCUCAACCGUAAAAUUGCAGUUGAAACUGGCAGUCUUGAGUACAGUAGAGGUGGGCGGAAUUCGUGGUGUAGCGGUGAAAUGCUUAGAUAUCACGAAGAACUCCGAUUGCGAAGGCAGUUCACUGGACUGCAACUGACACUGAGGCUCGAAAGUGUGUGUAUCAAACAGGAUUAGAUACCCUAGUAGUC
Molecule: ribosomal RNA, 460 nt
Filed under: uncultured bacterium
Lineage: Bacteria
Description: partial 16S ribosomal RNA
Rfam family: Bacterial small subunit ribosomal RNA
Source: RNAcentral